ANAGUUUGAUGCUGGCUCAGAAUGAACGUUGGCGGCGUGGAUUAGGCAUGCAAGUCGUGCGAGAAGAACUCUUAGCUUGCUUUGAGUUCGGACAGCGGCGGAAGGGAGAGUAACGCGUGGUUACAUGCCUCAGGGACCAGGAUAGCGUUGGGAAACUGGCGGUAAUACAGGAUAACAUCUAAGGAUCAAAUGGUGUGAUUCCGCCCUGAGAUUGGACCGCGUACUAUUAGCUUGUUGGUGAGGUAAUGGCUCACCAAGGCUGCGAUGGUUACCGGGUGUGAGAGCAUGGCCCGGCUCACUGGGACUGAGACACUGCCCAGACACCUACGGGUGGCUGCAGUCGAGAAUCUUCGGCAAUGGACGAAAGUCUGACCGAGCGACGCCGCGUGCGGGAUGAAGGCCCUCGGGUUGUAAACCGCUGUCAGUUUGGAGGAAAGGUCUGUGAAGAGCAGGCCCUGACCGAUAUUCAGAGGAAGGACGGGCUAAGUUCGUGCCAGCAGCCGCGGUAAGACGAACCGUCCAAACGUUAUUCGGUAUCACUGGGCUUAAAGCGUGCGUAGGCGGCUUGGUAGGUGAGAUGUGAAAGCCCACGGCUCAACCGUGGAAUUGCGUUUCAAACCCCCAAGCUUGAGGAAGACAGGGGAGAUGGGAACUUAUGGUGGAGCGGUGAAAUGCGUUGAUAUCAUAGGGUACACCGGUGGCGAAGGCGCAUCUCUGGGUCUUUUCUGACG
Molecule: ribosomal RNA, 731 nt
Filed under: uncultured Planctomycetaceae bacterium
Lineage: Bacteria; Pseudomonadati; Planctomycetota; Planctomycetia; Planctomycetales; Planctomycetaceae
Description: bacterial SSU rRNA
Rfam family: Bacterial small subunit ribosomal RNA
Source: RNAcentral